UACGGAGGGUGCAAGCGUUAUCCGGAUUUACUGGGUUUAAAGGGUGCGCAGGCGGAUAUGUAAGUCAGUGGUGAAAUCUCCAGGCUUAACCUGGAAAUUGCCGUUGAUACUAUAUAUCUUGAAUGUUGUGGAGGUGAGCGGAAUAUGUCAUGUAGCGGUGAAAUGCUUAGAUAUGACAUAGAACACCAAUUGCGAAGGCAGCUCACUACACAAUUAUUGACUCUGAGGCACGAAAGCGUGGGGAUCAAACAGG
This 253-nucleotide ribosomal RNA is filed under the name uncultured bacterium. RNAcentral's name for it is "partial 16S ribosomal RNA". It matches the Rfam family "Bacterial small subunit ribosomal RNA", at positions 524 to 776 of the family's 1533-position model. The record is from RNAcentral.